Molecule: ribosomal RNA, 466 nt
Filed under: uncultured bacterium
Lineage: Bacteria
Description: partial 16S ribosomal RNA
Rfam family: Bacterial small subunit ribosomal RNA
Source: RNAcentral
GACGAACGCUGGCGGUGUGCUUAACACAUGCAAGUCGAACGGUAAGGCCCUUUCGGGGGUACACGAGUGGCGAACGGGUGAGAAACACGUGAGUAACCUGCCCUCAUCUCUGGGAUAACAGUCGGAAACGGUUGCUAAUACUGGAUAUGAGCUUGCAAGGCAUCUUGUGGGUUGGAAAGAUUUUUUUGGUUGGGGAUGGACUCGCGGCCUUUCAGCUUGUUGUUGAGGUAGUGGCUCACCAAGGCUUCGACGGGUAGCCGGCCUGAGAGGGCGACCGGCCACAUUGGGACUGAGAUACGGCCCAAACUCCUACGGGAGGCAGCAGUGGGGAAUAUUGCACAAUGGACGGAAGUCUGAUGCAGCAACGCCGCGUGCGGGAUGACGGCCUUCGGGUUGUAAACCGCUUUCAAUUGUGACGAAGCUUUUUGUGACGGUAGCAGUAGAAGAAGCACCGGCUAACUACGUG